GAGCUUACCAUGCAGUCGACGCUGAGCUGACAGCUUGCUGUUGGUGGAUGAGUGGCGAACGGGUGAGUAACACGUGAGUAACCUGCCCCUGAUUUCGGGAUAAGCCUGGGAAACUGGGUCUAAUACCGGAUAUGACCAAUCCUUGCAUGAGGGUUGGUGGAAAGUUUUUCGAUCGGGGAUGGGCUCGCGGCCUAUCAGCUUGUUGGUGGGGUAAUGGCCUACCAAGGCGACGACGGGUAGCCGGCCUGAGAGGGCGACCGGCCACACUGGGACUGAGACACGGCCCAGACUCCUACGGGAGGCAGCAGUGGGGAAUAUUGCACAAUGGGGGAAACCCUGAUGCAGCGACGCAGCGUGCGGGAUGACGGCCUUCGGGUUGUAAACCGCUUUCAGCAGGGAAGAAGCGAAAGUGACGGUACCUGCAGAAGAAGUACCGGCUAACUACGUGCCAGCAGCCGCGGUAAUACGUAGGGUACGAGCGUUGUCCGGAAUUAUUGGGCGUAAAGAGCUCGUAGGUGGUUGGUCACGUCUGCUGUGGAAACGCAACGCUUAACGUUGCGCGUGCAGUGGGUACGGGCUGACUAGAGUGCAGUAGGGGAGUCUGGAAUUCCUGGUGUAGCGGUGAAAUGCGCAGAUAUCAGGAGGAACACCGGUGGCGAAGGCGGGACUCUGGGCUGUAACUGACACUGAGGAGCGAAA
Molecule: ribosomal RNA, 699 nt
Filed under: Brevibacterium sp. MU3
Lineage: Bacteria; Bacillati; Actinomycetota; Actinomycetes; Micrococcales; Brevibacteriaceae
Description: bacterial SSU rRNA
Rfam family: Bacterial small subunit ribosomal RNA
Source: RNAcentral